GGAAUAUUGGACAAUGGGCGAAAGCCUGAUCCAGCCAUGCCGCGUGUGUGAAGAAGGUCUUCGGAUUGUAAAGCACUUUAAGUUGGGAGGAAGGGCAGUUACCUAAUACGUGAUUGUCUUGACGUUACCGACAGAAUAAGCACCGGCUAACUCUGUGCCAGCAGCCGCGGUAAUACAGAGGGUGCAAGCGUUAAUCGGAAUUACUGGGCGUAAAGCGCGCGUAGGUGGUUUGUUAAGUUGAAUGUGAAAUCCCCGGGCUCAACCUGGGAACUGCAUCCAAAACUGGCAAGCUAGAGUAUGGUAGAGGGUAGUGGAAUUUCCUGUGUAGCGGUGAAAUGCGUAGAUAUAGGAAGGAACACCAGUGGCGAAGGCGACUACCUGGACUGAUACUGACACUGAGGUGCGAAAGCGUGGGGAGCAAACAGGAUUAGAUACCCGGG
This 440-nucleotide ribosomal RNA is filed under the name uncultured Pseudomonas sp. RNAcentral's name for it is "bacterial SSU rRNA". It matches the Rfam family "Bacterial small subunit ribosomal RNA", at positions 358 to 790 of the family's 1533-position model. Lineage: Bacteria; Pseudomonadati; Pseudomonadota; Gammaproteobacteria; Pseudomonadales; Pseudomonadaceae. The record is from RNAcentral.